CCCUCUUCCUCCCUGAGAAGCUGAGAUAAACAGGAAGGAGAGGCCUGAGUGUCUCCCACAGAUAAACAGGCUCCACCCAGAGCCAACAGUGCCUGUGUCUGGGACAGAGUGGGAGAGGACAGAAGUGCUCCUCCUCCAAGAACAUGGAAGUGGGCCUGGGAAGAGGGGAGGCCGUUUCCUCAAUCCCAGCCCUUAGCACCAGCACCUAGAGCUGAACCAGGAAGAUCCUGGGAGCUAAAGACAGACAGAUGGCAACUUCUCUCUCCUCCUCCUUCUUCAAUAUACUUCAGGAUGGUGGGAACAAAAGCAGGCCGGAGCCAAGGGAACCGAGCCAGGCCAGAGGAAUGGAUCCAUCCUCCUGCCAGGAGAGCUCUCCAGAAGAAGGGCUGUGCACUAAUUCGAGCCAAUGAUGAGCAAUGGCCAGAUGGGUGCUGAUGCCUCUCCUGUUUUGGGGCCUGCUCCUUGGUUCUUCUGUGCUUUGGUUCUACAUCUUCAGAAACUACAGUCCUCAUGACCAAGAUCCUGCAACCUCCGACUUAGACAGCUUCUCCUAGUCACGGUCCCAGUUCCAUGCUCCUGAGGCUUCUGCCUUCUUACUACUUGCUCACCCUGACCCUCACAUUCCCAAGAAUUCUGACUUCCUCCCUGAAUCCUGGGCCAAGCCACCAGUCACAUCUGUGUUUUCCUAGCUGAUCACUCCUUUGCUUCUUACCAGGCAUUCUUAUGCCAGCCCUUUGGGGAAGCCCUUGUCCCUUUUGUUCUUUUCUCCUAGCCUUGAGUUGUUGCCCACAGCCUCCUGUGAGGUUUAUGCAUGCUUGGGUCUCCCGGACUAUUUCCUGGCCUCUGAGAGCAGCAGAGUUGUCUCCCCACUGACUUCUUGAGCUUCACCCUGGGAGAGACCAAAGUGGUCAAUUGUAGCAGUGACCUCUUCCCAGUAUUAGCAGGCUAUAGUGGCAGAAGCUUCUUGCCCCUCCAUAAAUCAGCUGUGUAACAUUGGAAGUAGCAGCGCUUGGAUGAGUUCAGUCCCAGUCAAGAUCAAGUCACUCCAGCUAAAUUCCUUCCCUCUGAAUUAACCAUUUGUUCUCUUCAGCACGGAUAUGCUGUGCCCUCAUUCUACAGUCCCACCUGCUUGACAUUUGUUAUCAACAGGCAUCCCCAGGCCUGCCCAGUAUCCCUCCUUCCCA
This is a long non-coding RNA of Fukomys damarensis (Damara mole-rat), 1184 nucleotides long. RefSeq lists it as uncharacterized. Lineage: Eukaryota; Metazoa; Chordata; Mammalia; Rodentia; Bathyergidae. The transcript is spliced from 3 exons. The record is from RefSeq and is a predicted model, not a curated record.